This 77-nucleotide transfer RNA is filed under the name Candidatus Bathyarchaeota archaeon. RNAcentral describes it as "tRNA-Asn". It matches the Rfam family "tRNA". From Rfam's summary of the family: Transfer RNA (tRNA) molecules are approximately 80 nucleotides in length. Their secondary structure includes four short double-helical elements and three loops (D, anti-codon, and T loops). RNAcentral also lists the same sequence under 2 other names. Lineage: Archaea; Thermoproteati; Candidatus Bathyarchaeota. The record is from RNAcentral.
GCCGCCGUAGCUCAGCCUGGUAGAGCGCCCGGCUGUUAACCGGAUGGUCGACGGUUCAAAUCCGUCCGGCGGCGCCA